Molecule: long non-coding RNA, 1079 nt
Filed under: Notechis scutatus (mainland tiger snake)
Lineage: Eukaryota; Metazoa; Chordata; Lepidosauria; Squamata; Elapidae
Description: lncRNA (ENSNSUG00000004260.1)
Source: RNAcentral
CCUGGCCCUGCUCCUCCCACAGGUGGCCCUGGUGAAGGCGCCCUUGGAGUCCCGGGGCCAGGAGGAGGAGGAGGAGGAGCUGCAGGGCAGCCUGCUGGCCACCCAGGGCACGGAUCAGAGGGAGCCCCUCGUCCAGCCCCCCACGGGCCCCUCCGAGGUCCAGCACAUCACCCUCCCCUUCUGCAGCGCCCCCGAGUACAGCGUGGUCUCCGCCAGCGGGGAGGUUGCCGGCACUCUGUACGGCCAGGAGGUGGUGCAGGUCCCCGAAGGUGCAGCCGCCCAGACUGUCAUCCAGGACUCCCUGGAGGAGGCUCCCGCAGUGCUAGAGGGGCCCCAGCAGCCCCCACCACCUUCCGGGGAGGCCAAUGGGGAUCCCCUGCCGAGCGCCCAGUGGCCGGUGGUGCGCUGCCUGGCCUGGCAGGCCCAGGAGCAGCCGGAGGCCGGCGGGAUCUCCCUGGUCCCGGCAGAGCAGCCCCCCCCGGGCAGGAGGCCCCCGCCGGGCCAGGCCCCCCCGGCCAAGAAGUUCUCCUGCAAGAUCUGCAGCGCCUCCUUUGCGGGCCGGGCGGAGAUGGAGAGCCACAAGCGGGCCCACACCGGGCCCAGCGGCUUCAAGUGCCCCGACUGCCCCUUCACGGCUCCCGCCUGGCCAGAGGUCCGGAGCCACCUGGGGCCGCACGCCCGCCCCCGGCCCCCCAAGUGCCAGCACUGCAGCUUUGCCUCCAAGAACAAGAAAGACCUCCGCAGGCACACGCUGACCCACACCAACGAGAAGCCCUUCGCCUGCCCCAUCUGCGGCCAGAGGUCAGCCUGGGGGGAGGGAAGGGGGCGUCUUCCUGGGGGGGGGGCGGGGUCCGGCCCUGGCAGCUGGGUGAGGGCAGCUCCCCCCCCCCCCCCCCCCCCCGGCCUGCAGGUUCAACCGGAAGGGCCACCUCAAGUUCCACACGCAGAGGCUGCAUAGCUCCGAGGGGAGGACGGCCUCCGAGCCCCUCCCCAGCGCCCCCCAGGCCCUCAUCCUGAACAGCCACGAGGAGACCCUGGCCACGCUGCAGAGUAAGCGGGAGGGAGGGAGGGAGGGGAGG